UACGGAGGGUUCAAGCGUUAUCCGGAUUCCCUGGGUUUAAAGGGUGCGUAGGCGGGCAGGUAAGUCAGUGGUGAAAUCUCCGGGCUUAACCCGGAAACUGCCGUUGAUACUAUCUGUCUUGAAUAUCGUGGAGGUAAGCGGAAUAUGUCAUGUAGCGGUGAAAUGCUUAGAUAUGACAUAGAACACCCAUUCCGAAGGCAGCUUACUACACGAUCAUUGACGCUGAGGCACGAAAGCGUGGGGAGCAAACAGG
RNAcentral lists this ribosomal RNA (253 nucleotides) under uncultured bacterium. RNAcentral's name for it is "partial 16S ribosomal RNA". It matches the Rfam family "Bacterial small subunit ribosomal RNA", at positions 524 to 776 of the family's 1533-position model. The record is from RNAcentral.